RNAcentral lists this unclassified non-coding RNA (203 nucleotides) under plant metagenome. RNAcentral describes it as "partial contains small subunit ribosomal RNA, internal transcribed spacer 1, and 5.8S ribosomal RNA". The record is from RNAcentral.
UCUCCGUUGGUGAACCAGCGGAGGGAUCAUUAUCGAGUUAUACAACUCCCAAACCCUAUGUGAACUUACCACUUGUUGCUUCGGCGCGCGCUUCGGCGCCGCCGAGGACACUUAAACUCUUUGUUUUUAUAAGCAUUUCUGAGUGGCCGAAAGGCAAAAAUACAAAUGAAUCAAAACUUUCAACAACGGAUCUCUUGGUUCUG